CGGGGGUACUCGAGCGGCGAACGGGUGAGUAACACGUGAGUAAUCUGCCCCCUACUUUGGGAUAACUACCGGAAACGGUGGCUAAUACCGGAUACGACACAGGUACGCAUGUGCUCUGUGUGGAAAGUUUUUUCGGUGGGGGAUGUGCUCGCGGCCUAUCAGCUUGUUGGUGGGGUAAUGGCCUACCAAGGCUUCGACGGGUAGCCGGCCUGAGAGGGUGACCGGCCACACUGGGACUGAGACACGGCCCAAACUCCUACGGGAGGCAGCAGUGGGGAAUAUUGGACAAUGGGCGGAAGCCUGAUCCAGCAACGCCGCGUGAGGGAUGACGGCCUUCGGGUUGUAAACCUCUUUCAGUACCGACGAAGCGCCGGUAAUGGUGGUGACGGUAGGUACAGAAGAAGCACCGGCCAACUACGUGCCAGCAGCCGCGGUAAUACGUAGGGUGCGAGCGUUGUCCGGAAUUAUUGGGCGUAAAGGGCUCGUAGGCGGUUUGUCGCGUCGGGAGUGAAAACACCGGGCUUAACUCGGUGCUUGCUUUCGAUACGGGCAGACUAGAGGCAUGCAGGGGAGAACGGAAUUCCUGGUGUAGCGGUGAAAUGCGCAGAUAUCAGGAGGAACACCGGUGGCGAAGGCGGUUCUCUGGGCAU
Molecule: ribosomal RNA, 650 nt
Filed under: uncultured bacterium
Lineage: Bacteria
Description: bacterial SSU rRNA
Rfam family: Bacterial small subunit ribosomal RNA
Source: RNAcentral